This is a long non-coding RNA of Anguilla rostrata (American eel), 4404 nucleotides long. RefSeq lists it as uncharacterized. The record is from RefSeq and is a predicted model, not a curated record. NCBI's taxonomy places the organism in Eukaryota, Metazoa, Chordata, Actinopteri, Anguilliformes, Anguillidae. The transcript is spliced from 3 exons.
AGGGCAGAAUUUCAUUUCAGAAAUUAAGGCAACCAAAAGUUCAUUAAAAUGCAGAGGGAGUGAAACAGCCCUGUUAAUGUUGUUGAUACGAUUGUGCUGUUUUUUUUUUUUAAGGAUCCAUUUCAAAAAUAGGCAAUAAUUCCAAUCAGUGACAGACACCAAUAUACACUGAGGGGGGUAGCAGCGGGGGAAAGCGUCUACCGUCUAAGGUUAGAUCAAACAGCCAUAAAGCUCUACUUCGGCAUUCUCUUUAAGCUCCACUGAGGGAACAUUAAACCCAACAGGAAGUUUUUAAGAACACUUCUAUUGCAAAUGACAAGAGCAGGGAUAUGCAAUCACCUGAUGGAAAACACCCUUAGCCUAGCAAUGAUGACAACAAAUGGAAACGCUGGCAUUCUGUCACAUAGCUGCCAAUGAAUAUCGACCGUCAAGGAAAAAAACACACUGCAUUGGCUCUGGGGAGGACAUUGGCAAAUAAAAAGGUUCGGAUCCAGGUAUGGAACAGCCCCACAUUUUGUCACUCAGAAAGCUGUGCUGCCUCCCAGGUAAGUCCACUCCAAAAAGGAGGCAGUUCCUAUCCUCCAUGUGGAAUUAGAAUCAAGCCAUCAUGUUUGCAAUUUAAUUAGUGCUCUAUUUCUCAACAAGAUUAUUUUGUAUUAUUUUAUCACAAGUUAGAUAAAAAGUAAUUACAUGUAUACGUUGAAUUGAAUAUAAGGAAACAAAAUUAACACCACUUUAGGUGCUCUCACUAUGCAAUACUAUGUUCUAGUAUCGUGUAUUAGUGAAAUACAUUUUAAGUCUGGGAUAGCAUGGUGGUGCAGUGGGUAGCACUGUCUCCUCACCGCAAGAAGGUCCUGGGUUUGAAUGCAUGUUCUCCCUGUGUCUGCGUGGGUUUCCUCCGGGUAAUCCAGUUUCCUCCCGCAGUCCAAAGACACGCAGGUAGGCUAAUUUUAGACUCUAAAUUGCCCAUAGGUGUGAGUGUGUGUGCCCUGAAAUAGAUUGGUGACCUGUCCAGGGUGUAUACCUUCCUCUCAUACUAUCCAUGCUGGGAUAGACUUCAUCCUAUUCCGCUGGAUAUCUCUUAUUCAGCUUUAGUCUCAUUCAAAAGUCUCAUAAUGUUUUGUUGUUGUUUGAAUUCCUUUGUUCUGUGUGUACAUGCUUGAGCAAAGCAGCCCCCCCCCCCCCCACAAACCUGGUUAACAGUGAUAUCAGCAUCAUCAGACAUUUUCGGAAAACAAUAAACUGCUAUGGGAUGGAUUUUGAAACAGCAUAACAGCAUAACAGCCGAACUUGUGAAGGGAUGAUUUGCUAGUACACAGUCAAGCAUCAGAGAGAACUAGUCGGUUAACUUAAACCAACAUAAUCUCUGAAACCAGAAUGAGCUAGCAAGGCAUCAGUUACAAUAAAACUAGUUGUUCAAAAUAUUGCCAGAUACUUGUUCGCCUGACGACCUAGUUAGAUGUAUAUUUUACCCUAUGGGAACAUUUUGGAAAUGCAGCACUCUAGCUGGUGAGCAUAUUUUAUGCUAGGUGUCUAGGUCAUGGUGAUGUUCUAACCAGACAGAUCUUGCUAGCUGGAAACAUGCCGAAAGGCUGGGCAGAUUCUCCCAGCUUUUGAUUAUCUUUGCCCACUGUCAACUGAUCCAGAUACCAUAAAGAUCAAUCAUCCACACAAGAUCUGUGCAGCAUUGAUGCUUUUGAAAAGGAGCAGUGAAUAUGCACAAAAAGUCUGCCCAACUUUUCACUUAGAAUUAGAAUACGAUAAGAGAAGGAAUGCUCCAGAGUUUCUGUGCAAUCCCAAGAAACUCUGAAAGAUUUUUCACACAGUUCCUGAGGGAAAUGGGGAAGUUUGUGGAAGCUAAAUAUAUUCUUUUAAAAAGUAAGUCAAUCAUUUGUGAAUUGGGAUUCAUUUCAGGGAUAUCUCAUAUUCUCCUAAAAGUUGUCCCAGCAUAUAUUGCCCCUGAAAUAGCAGAAUCUAUAUUGUGGAUAUGCGCAGAUAUGUGUUUCUGAUUAGUCAGAUGUAUAGUCAGGUAUAAGACACCUGCCAGUACCUACUCUUUGAUUUUAGGCGCUUUGUUUCCUUUGGAGUCUGUAGUUGUCAACAUGAGGCCCAGAGUUGUUCCAGUUGAAGUUAAGGAAGUCAUUAUGAGGCUGAGAAAUAAGAAAAAAAAAAAUAAAAAUAAAUAUCAGUUAUAACAAUAUCAGUUAUUACAUAAAUAGGAAGGGCUUUCUGUUUUACAGAAUGAUAUUGACUUCUUGUUAAGAAAGGAGCACACUGCCUUGGAACUAUGAAUGUACUGUAGAUUCUGAGGUGCUGCUGCCAAACUGAAUAACAGUGUACAAAGUAUCUACAAUUGUUUCAUUUGCUUGAGAAGGGAUGCUCCUCAGCCCACGAUUAAACCUUUGGAAGGAGUCAGCUGAACAUAUUUAAUUGGAGAGUUUUAAAGUAAAUCUGUUUUUUUCCCCCCUUUCCUGUUCCUUUGAGAAAUUAACUAUUCCAUUCGCUGCAUAAAUUUUCAGGUUUCACUUGUGCGACACUCGGGGGUGUUGAAUUUUUUAUGACAAAAACGGUCUAAUAAUUGUUGAACAGAUGUAAAUGUUGGAGAGUGGGCUCUGACAGACCUCAUAAAACAGAAUUAGCAUGUUAACCCUGACAAUGCCAUGAGAAGAAGAAGAAGAAGAAGAAGAAGAAGGGGGGAUUGCCUAUGCAUGUUUGGGCCUGCAAUUGAAAUUCUUUCCUUUUUCAAAAUACAUAGGGAUCCACUGCAUGCAGGACAAAAUUGGUAAGUUGUCCAGCUUUGACUAUCCACCAUUUCCUUUCAAACAUAAAAAUAAAACGAAUUGUAAUUUCACUGGUUAGUCUUGCUUUAUCAGCAAUUCUUCUUAAUUCUAGGCAGAAUUAAAACCUCAUAUUUCACUGGUGGCUCCUCUGUUUGCAUGAAAUCAACAGUCGUGUCUGAUCAUACCAUUAUGUAUUCAUAAUAAUUGCUACCACUGCCAUACUUAAUCCAUAAAUAAAUAUUUAUUUAAAUUAGACAAAUGUAUAUAUAUAUAUAUUUUUUUUUUUUUUUUACCCAGUUAGUUAUGAUGUAUGUAAUACAGUAUAGUAUCAUUCAAUGCAGAGAUUGUAAAGAUGACUUAAUUAUUUUAACUGAUGUUCAAGAUUUUUUAUUUUUUUUUCCUGAUAAAAAAGUAAAUUUAAAUAGUAUUCUUUAUGAUAAAAAUGACUGGAAAAUUGUAAGAAAAAAAAUCAUUACAUGACAUUGAGAUAUAGUUGUACAUAUUUUCGCCAUGGCCCGGAUUAAUACUCAAUUCUGAUUGGUUGACGGGUACGUAUUUCUGUAUGUGUACGACAAUAUGUCCAUCGCAAUUCUCAAUCAUUAGGCUGAUACUUUUCAAAAUGCAACGUUAUUGAAGUUGUGUUUUUUUCAUAAAGACAGGGUUACCUCAUGAAUGGAAUUAAUCUCAGUUUGAUAAAUGACAAAUCUGGGUCUGUGCCAUUUGGUUUAAUACCCACCCGUGUUAAUGACAGCUGAAUUACUUAGUUGAUUUAGUUGCUGAGGUAGAAAUUAUCAGUGGAAAUGGUAUUCAACCUUGUUGGUGCUACAGAUUUAACAGAUGACUGGCUCUGUCUUCAUCACCUUUAUUGACCUAACAGCUUUAUUGUAGAAACAUUUUACAUUGAUGUUGACGGUCUUCUUUCUGGUGCUCCGCAUCAGCAUGAGUCCUGACAUGUAUGUGAAUAGGCCUUUCAAUACCCUAGGUCCUGGCAGAGGUCUGCUUACAUGUCAGCCUACAUGUUGCAUAUUAGUUGAGUGUGCCUUAGCCCUUCAGAGGAAUACCAGCUGUGCUAUUUCUGUCCUCCUGACCAGCACUAAUGGCUUUGUCAUCCUCUUCUUGCUCUCUGCCAGCUGGUUUAUAUAGCGUAAUUGUAAUUUUCUUGUUAAGCACGUUGAUCAGAUGUGCUGAUUUCAAAAGCAGCCAUGUCUGCCUCAUGAAAGGACCCUGUCACUGUUAAAAGUCUGUUGUUGGAUGACAACAAUUGUAUGGGGCAUCUUCUGUGAAAGCUUGUUGUUUCGGGCUAGUUUAUCUUAUGCACUUUUUUGCUGUGUUUUCUCGCCAUCCACUCAAACCAAAACUGACAAACCAUAUUUCUAAGAAGUGUCAAAUGAUGAUUGGGCUUAAUCCCUUGGUUGGCUCCUUUCUGGACUUCAGUAACAUUGGCACAUAACAAUAACUUGGCUGGGAAUCAAUUGAUAUUGGUACUUAUGUAGCCAAACUGUGUCUUUCAUUCACAAACAUAGCUUGGCUAGUUCUGCAAUCAUUAAAAUGUCUGGUACAAUGUACAGAAAGGGAAAAAAAACAGAUAAUUACAGAUAGAUUGUUGUUGAAUCCAAACCAGUUU